GAUGAACGCUGGCGGCGUGCCUAAUACAUGCAAGUCGAGCGAACAGACGAGGAGCUUGCUCCUUUGACGUUAGCGGCGGACGGGUGAGUAACACGUGGGUAACCUACCUAUAAGACUGGGAUAACUUCGGGAAACCGGAGCUAAUACCGGAUAAUAUUUCGAACCGCAUGGUUCGAUAGUGAAAGAUGGCUUUGCUAUCACUUAUAGAUGGACCUGCGCCGUAUUAGCUAGUUGGUAAGGUAACGGCUUACCAAGGCAACGAUACGUAGCCGACCUGAGAGGGUGAUCAGCCACACUGGAACUGAGACACGGUCCAGACUCCUACAGGAGGCAGCAGUAGGGAAUCCUCCGCAAGGGGCGAAAGCCUGACGGAGCAACGCCGCGUGAGUGACGAAGGUCUUCGGAUCGUAAAACUCUGUUAUUAGGGAAGAACAAACGUGUAAGUAACUGUGCACGUCUUGACGGUACCUAAUCAGAAAGCCACGGCUAACUACGUGCCAGCCGCCGCUGUAA
This 513-nucleotide ribosomal RNA is filed under the name uncultured bacterium. Its description in RNAcentral is "partial 16S ribosomal RNA". It matches the Rfam family "Bacterial small subunit ribosomal RNA", at positions 28 to 523 of the family's 1533-position model. The record is from RNAcentral.